GUAGGGGGCGAGCGUUGCUCGGAAUUACUGGGCGUAAAGGGUGUGUAGGUGGCUGAUCAAGUCAAAGAUGAAAUCCCGAGGCUCAACUUCGGAAUUGUCUUUGAAACUGGUCGGCUUGAGGCUAGUUGAGGAGAGCGGAAUUCCCGGUGGAGCGGUGAAAUGCGUAGAUAUCGGGAGGAACACCUGAGGCGUAGGCGGUUCUCUAAACUAGUCCUGACACUGAGACACGAAAGCUAGGGGAGCAAACGGGAUUAGAUACCCCGGUAGUCCUAGCUGUAAACGAUGGACGCUAGAUGUACCUGCGUUCAUGCAGGUGUGUCGAAGCUUAACGCGUUAAGCGUCCCGCCUGGGGAGUACGGUUCGCAAGGCUG
This 371-nucleotide ribosomal RNA is filed under the name uncultured bacterium. RNAcentral describes it as "bacterial SSU rRNA". It matches the Rfam family "Bacterial small subunit ribosomal RNA", at positions 527 to 896 of the family's 1533-position model. The record is from RNAcentral.